This 552-nucleotide ribosomal RNA is filed under the name Teremitra efatensis. RNAcentral describes it as "partial 12S ribosomal RNA". The record is from RNAcentral. Lineage: Eukaryota; Metazoa; Mollusca; Gastropoda; Neogastropoda; Pyramimitridae.
AACCAAAAGAUUAAAUUAUACUUUUAUGGUAAAAAGAUAGUUAGAUAAUAAUGUAUUUAGUUUAUUAAUUAUUUAUAUAGAGGUAGAAUUCAUAUAUAAAUAUAUAAUUUGAUAUAUAACAAAAUAAAUCGAGGCUAUGAAAACUUUGAGGGAAACUAGGAUUAGAUACCCUAUUAUUCUUGGUUGUAAAUAUAAUAAUUUAAAAUUAUUUACCGGAGCACUAAGAAUAAAUAAAUUUAAAACUCAAAGGGCUUGGCGGUGUUUUAGACCUCUCAGGGGAACUUGUUUCAUAAUCGAUAAUCCACGUAAAACCUGACCUUAUUUUGCUUAACAGUUUGUAUACCGUCGUCGUCAGGUAACUUUUAAGAAAUAAUAAGUUGGCUAGAAAAUUAAUUAGUUAAAACGUCAGAUCAAGGUACAGCCUAUAAUAAGGGGAAAAUGAGUUACAAUUAUGUAAUUAUAAUAGCGGAUAAUUUUAUUAAAAAAUUUUGAAGGAGGACUUGAAAGUAAAAUAUAUUAUAUAAAUAAUUUGAAUAAGGCUCUGAAACGUGC